CACUGAACAAGGCCAGGGCUCGAACCCACGUCCCCAGGGAUACUAGUUGGGUUUGUUACCACUGAGCCAUCAUGGGAACUCCCUCUUUGGGAACUCUCUUUUUGACAAGACCAGGCACAUUCAAGGUGGUAUGGCCAUAGACUGGAAACUCCCUUUUCGAUCAAGGACCUCAUGACCAUAUUUGUAUGUGUGAUUAAGACUGAUGAUAGACUGGAGAGGGUAAUAUUGGAGACAAGAGACUAGUUAGGAGAUUUUUAUGGAAGUCCAGGUGAAAGACAAUGGAGACCUGAUGGGGGAAAAGGAAUGAGGAGAGGAAAGUUACCCAUUGCAAAGGUCGAGUAGAAAUUGGCAGGAUUCAAAUUUAGAUCUUUAGCUCCAAGUGCGUGUAUAUGAGGUCUUUCUUUACCAGCAUUAUGGCAAGCUGGCCUCCCACAAACCCUUUAUAGCUAAGUCAUUUUGUGAAAAUUGUAUGUCGUGGGCCAGAUCUAUAGGACGUGAAGAAUCCAAAACCAUGAAAACAUUUGUGGCAGUUUAAUAUUUUUGAGAUAUUUUUGGUUGCCCCUUCCAGCACUCAAGCAGGUAGAAGACUCUGAGCUGAGCUUCCUCGCCUGUGAGAGAUCUGAAACAGAACAUCCCAGGUUUUAUUUCUGAGCCACAGCACAUGCCAGGGGAAAGAGUUUGAAGAGGGGAGAUUUCAGCCCGACGAGGAAGACAUUUUCGAAUCAGGAGGAGGAAGAUGGGAUCUCACCACCUUAGGAUGUGGGAGGAGAUUAGGGAAAGUAUCCAGGAGGGGACAUGGGGGCUGGAUCCAAGGCCUGGUGCUCGCCAAGGCGCUGCAUCCUUAGUGUGUGAUGCAGACAGACCAACCUAAUGGGACAAUGUGAGCUGGUGUAAUCAACAACCCAAAGGAUAUCUCAGGAAAAUGAGCACUAUGUGAAACCACAGCAAAACCCUAGUUUGCCAUGAAAUUACUCUCCAGAAAGAGAGCCAGAGGUUACAAUGAAUUGAUGUGUAGAAAUAAAAACAUGCACUGAAAUACUGAAAACAAAAUUUACAAUGAAAUAAAGGAAAGGGUGAAACUCAUUCCUGCAAUUCUGCACUGCGUAGAACCCUGGAUGAGAGCAAGACCUUCUAUAGCCUGAAGGGGUGGGAAAUCCAGAACAUAUUUUUGUGUCUGUCUCUCCCUUUUUUCUUAAUUCUUUUUUUGUUUUUACAAGUUCACUAACCCAGGUUUUUAUUUAUUUAUUUAUUUAUUUUACUCAGUGAAUUUUAUUAUAUUUAUAGUUGUACAAUGAUUAUCACAACCAAAUUUUAUAGCAUUUCCAUCCCAAACCCCCAGCCCAUCCCCCCACCCCAACCCACCUCCUUUGGAAACCAUGUUUUUCAAAGUCUUUGAGUCAGUAUCUGUUCUGCAAAAAAGUUUACUGGGUCCUUUUUUUAUUUUUUAAUUUUAAUUUAAUUUAAUUUUAUUUUUUGCUUGUUAGGGCUGCACCUGUGGCAUAGGGAGGUUCCCAGGCUAGGGGUCCAGUUGGAGCUGCAGCUGCUGGCCUACACCACAGCCACAGCAACGCUAGAUCUGAGCCACAUCUGCAGCCUACACCACAGCUCAUGGCAACACCAGAUGCUUAACCCACCAAGCGAGGCCAGGGAUUGAACCUGCAACCUUAUGGUUCCUGGUUGGAUUCAUUUCUGCUGCACCAGAAUGGGAACUCCACUGGGUCCAUUUUUUAGAUUCUGCAUGUAAGUGAUAGCAUAUGAUGUUGGUGUCUCACUGUCUGACUAACUUCACUUAGCAUGAUAAUUUCUAGGUCCAUUCAUGUUGCUGUAAAUGCCAUUAUUUCUUUCCUUUUAAUGAUGGAGACUAUUCCACUGUGUGUAUGUACCACAUCUUCUUUAUCCACUCCUAUGGACAUUUAGGUUGUUUCCAUGUCUUAGCUAUUGUAAAUAGUGCUGCAGUGAACUUUGGAGUACAUGCUUCUUUUUGAGUCAUGGUUUUCCCUUUUUUAAAUUCUGAUUCAAAUCAGACUGGGUCUACUUGUAAAUGUUCUAAGUAACCCAGAUCUCCCCUCAGAAGAAUUCUAGCAUUGCUGAGCUGGGGCUUUCAGGACAAAUUCACAAGGUGUUUGGAAAUAUCAAGAUAAUAUUCUAGUUAUAGUCUAAUUUUCCCUUUACUAAUACAAACGCUCAAAUAAAUAUCUCUGCAUACAGUAUUUAUCUAAACAUCUUCAUGUAUACAAAACUUCAGAGAUGGUGACCUCGUAUAGAAUAAGCAUAAUUUGCAAAAUCAACAUGAACAUCCCAUUUAAAGCAAUAUCCCCUGGGUGUUGUCUGAGCUAAAAGACAAGUUCAUUAUAUUUAUUUUCUGGAAAAAAUAUGUCAAACCUUAAAUAUGACUAAAAAUCAGACAUUUUGGGGGAAAAAAUUCAGUCCUAUAAAGAAGGAAGUAUUCUAUAUUCAUAGUGUCAGAAAAAUUCAGUCCUAUAAAGAAGGAAGUAUGCUAUAUUCAUAGUGUCAGAAAUACAUGGUUAUGUUUUAGAAAUCUGAGAAAAAUUUAUGUUGUCUUUCUGUUCUAUUUUGCCUACUGCAAGCCCCUCUUACCCUAUGUUCAUUCUAUUUAAUUUUCUCCCUGUCUUUGAGUAGUUUUAUCUUAAAAACAGUAUAAUCCCCAAAAAAGGCAAGAAGAAUUCAAUGAAAAAAAAAUAAUCAAAGCCAUUCAUGGUUUAUGUGCCCAGACUAAGCAGUAUUUAUGGAAGAGUUGUUCUUUUUUUUUUUUUCUUGAAGUCCAAUGUGUAAAUUAAGUUGCACCAAGGCAAGUCAAAUUAUUCCCCAGCCAUUUGUAGCAUGCAGUGUUUUAUGUGACUUUUUACCCUCUUAUUCAAAAAAACAAUGCGUACUUGUAUAGCAGCCAGACGAAGUGGUGAUUCACACGCAUCUAGGAGAUGCCAAGUACUGUACCUCCUUAAGGAAACACACUCACCCAUGUGUAAUGAGAGUUUGGAUUUCCUGAAGUGAUUCAACGUUAAACAGAAUUCAGCAUUGAACUGAAUAUUCAUAGAUGUUGACAAUCACAGCGCAGAUAUACUAGAGUUUCAUUUGCCUUUGUGCAACUCCCACUCGUUUAGUUAAAGAUGCAUCCUUGUUAUGUUGAAGUGGAACAUUUUCACUCACUCAAGGAAACUGAUUGAAGAAUUUGGCCUGUUUUUUUUUUUAUAUUACUAAAAUAAAACAGUCAAAGAUUUUUUUUCAAGAAAGGAUGGCCAGCUUUGUCUCUGUGACAAUGAACUCCCCUUGAGCCCCUGUCUUAAAUUUUGCAGCUUUUAAUUCAAGAGGAACACUGAACUAGGCUGGCAACUGGCUAUUUGAUUGCUAGUUUGAUACUAUAGGUCCUGGUCGCUAUUAGACAAAAAUGCUUGAAAAAUCCAUAGCCUGCUUGAUGUCAGGUCACCAGAAAUUUUUGCUUUUAAAAUGCAGGCAGAGGAAUAGAGAUUUGAUAUGGCAGCAUUAGGGAGCCAUAGUGGGUCACUGAGUGAGGAAGUAAGGAUUUGAUUGAAAAUUCAAUUCUCCCAGAUUGUAUAAAUGCUACUGCUUAAAGAAAUCCAGCUAUUUUACCCUUUGGAGAUAGUAACCAAAACCAGAAGUUCUUGAAAUAAAUGAGUGAAAAAAAAAAAAAAAAGAGCAGGGAUAGGGGAGGACGAGGCAGCUGCCAGAGCUGUAGUGGGCACGGCCACUGGAGGGCAAAGAGGGCUUUAUGUACAGCUUGAACUACGCAAAUUAAAAAAUAAGGCCAUUUGGACAUGUGUACAAGGCAAACAGUCACACAGAGAAUUUGAAUGCAUUAUUCACAGCAUCUAGGUCCUUUAAUCACUAAGUGUUUGGAAGAUUAGAAUUUCAACCUAAAUUAUAAAAGUGUCACAGUGAGAUUCUACCUAAACUAAAAGUUGGGGAAUCCAAACGAAAUUGCUAUAAAGAAAGGCUGAAAUGUGUUUCUUGAGGCCAGCCCUCAAGAAGUGUACAGUGCAAGAAGGCGAUGGCCCCCUUCCAAAUCAUCCAUUAAUUCACUAUGAGAAAGCCAUCUUUUCACCAACAGGCAUCUGUUUCAGGGUUGGGACUGGAGACGCAGAAAACCUUUUGUUUCCCGGGAAUUUAUAUGGGCUAGCCUUGUUUAUGUGGGCUAGCUUUGCUACAGGCAGCCUGCCAGAAGCACAAACUCUCAAGCACUGUCCCAGAAAUCCUAAUUGAGAAUCUCUGUUUUAAUAAGUUCCUCAGGUGAUUUCUGUGCACAUUGAAGGAUUUGCAGGUAUGUGCUUUGAUACGUUCAAAUCAACUGUCUCUCUCAAAAGCCCAAUUCCAAAAUGGCACCUAGUAUACCCUAAAUGUUAUGCUAUGUCUACAAGAAGAAACAAAAUUAUUCUUUCUUUGUAACAUAGCAAUAAACACAAUACCUUGAAUUUAUAAGAUUUCUCUUAUGUAAUAAUGAUGUGUAUGUCUAAGUGGUAUAUGUGUAAGAAGCCCCAUGAAUGUUCUAGGGCAGUGAUUCUCAAAGUGGGGUCCCUGGGAACUUGUUAGAAAUGCAGAUUCUCAGGCUCCAUCCUGGACCUACUGACUUGGAAACCCUGGAGGAGGGGACCAGCAGUCUGUGUUUUAACAAGUUCUCCUGGUGAUUCUGACAUCAGCUCAGGUUUGAGAGCCUCUGCUUCUAAACCACCACAGGAGCUACUCAAAAUCAUUGGUGUCAUUAGCAGUGACUUGAGCUCUGAGGUAGUGAAAAAAACCUCAUCAAAUGGAAAAUUAUUCUGAUACAUUUCAAAACUGUCAAAGCAGAAAUGUCAAAGCCUAUCUCACAAGUACCUUCUAAUGAAUUGAUUUAUAUUAUUUAUGUAGAACAGACUGACUGGCCAGCUUGAUAAUGCAUCUCACCCUUCUAUGGCAGGAGAGGCAGUUGCCUCCGCCCACCCUGUUCCCAUUGUAUGGAUUAGAAGAGGUGUAAUUCUUCUGAAAGUUUGUUGAGCAGACAACAUGGGUCCCCUACAAGGAAGCUCUGAUUUGACCCCUAGCCUGGGAACUUCCAUGUGCUGUGGGGACAGCCCUAAAAAAAAAGAAUGUACUGGCUUCAGAAAAAAAAAAAAAAAAAAAAAAAAAAAAAAAAGA
Molecule: long non-coding RNA, 5148 nt
Filed under: Sus scrofa (pig)
Lineage: Eukaryota; Metazoa; Chordata; Mammalia; Artiodactyla; Suidae
Description: lncRNA (ENSSSCG00060061882.1)
Source: RNAcentral